CAGUCGCCACGGUAAUACGGAGGGUGCAAGCGUUAAUCGGAAUUACUGGGCGUAAAGCGCACGCAGGCGGUUUGUUAAGUCAGAUAUGAAAUCCCCGAGCUUAACUUGGGAACUGCAUUUGAAACUGGCAAGCUAGAGUCUUGUAGAGGGGGGUAGAAUUCCAGGUGUAGCGGUGAAAUGCGUAGAGAUCUGGAGGAAUACCGGUGGCGAAGGCGGCCCCCUGGACAAAGACUGACGCUCAGGUGCGAAAGCGUGGGGAGCAAACAGGAUUAGAUACCCGCGUAGUCCCUGUCUCUUAUAA
Molecule: ribosomal RNA, 301 nt
Filed under: uncultured bacterium
Lineage: Bacteria
Description: partial 16S ribosomal RNA
Rfam family: Bacterial small subunit ribosomal RNA
Source: RNAcentral